AGCACGUAGGUGGGUUUGUAAGUCAGACGUGAAAGCCUUCUGUUCAACGGAAGAAUUGCAUCUGAAACUACAAACCUUGAGUGUAGGAGGGGAGAAUGGAACUUCUGGUGGAGCGGUGAAAUGCGUAGAUAUCAGAAGGAACGCCGGCGGCGAAAGCGAUUCUCUGGCCUAUUACUGACACUCAGUGUGCGAAAGCUAGGGGAGCAAACGGGAUUAGAUACCCCGGUAGUCCUAGCCGUAAACGAUGGGCACUAAGUAGAGGGAAUUACCGAUGUUCUCUCUGCCGUAGCUAACGCAUUAAGUGCCCCGCCUGGGGAGUACGGCCGCAAGGCUAAAACUCAAAAGAAUUGACGGGGGCUCGCACAAGCGGUGGAGCAUGUGGCUUAAUUCGAUGCAACGCGAAAAACCUUACCGGGGCUUGACAUGGUAGAAGUAGGAACCCGAAAGGGUAACGAACGGUAUCCAGUCCGUGACUAUCACAGGUGUUGCAUGGCUGUCGUCAGCUCGUGUCGUGAGACGUUGGGUUAAGUCCCCUAACGAGCGAAACCCUUGUUUUUAGUUGCCAGCGGGUUGUGCCGGGCACUCUAGAAAGACUGCCGUCGUCAAGACGGAGGAAGGUGGGGAUGACGUCAAGUCAUCAUGGCCCUUAUGCCCCGGGCUGCACACGUGCUACAAAUGGCCGGUACAACGGAAGCGAAGCCGAGAGGUGAAGCGAAUCC
Molecule: ribosomal RNA, 719 nt
Filed under: uncultured Planctomycetota bacterium
Lineage: Bacteria; Pseudomonadati; Planctomycetota
Description: bacterial SSU rRNA
Rfam family: Bacterial small subunit ribosomal RNA
Source: RNAcentral